CUCUCAAUUUGGUUUGUGGUGUCAGGAAAUCUAGGGGAUCCUGUACACCUACCUUUCUUUUUCAUGGAGGAAUAUUAUUCAUGAUAAUAAAGAUAAUCUCAUUGUGUAAAUAACUUGUUUCCUUCAUAUUUAUCAGAAUACAAUGUUUUUCUUUACAACUAUAUCAGGGGAAAUACCUCUUUAGGUGUUGAAUAUUCCAAGCGUGGGGCUCAUG
RNAcentral lists this long non-coding RNA (214 nucleotides) under Manihot esculenta (cassava). Its description in RNAcentral is "long non-coding RNA (MESC_LNC008754)". The record is from RNAcentral. Lineage: Eukaryota; Viridiplantae; Streptophyta; Magnoliopsida; Malpighiales; Euphorbiaceae.